CCGGAUGGUUCAGGGUGGAGCUGUCCUCUCUGGAAGGGACCGGAUGGUUCAGGGUGGAGCUGUCCUCUCUGGAAGGGACUGGAUGAUUCAGGGUGGAGCUGUCCUCUCUGGAAGGGACCGGAUGGUUCAGGGUGGAGCUGUCCUCUCUGGAAGGGACCGGAUGGUUCAGGGUGGAGCUGUCCUCUCUGGAAGGGGCCGGAUGGUUCAGGGUGGAGCUGUCCUCUCUGGAAGGGACCGGAUGGUUCAGGGUGGAGCUGUCCUCUCUGGAAGGGACAGGAUGGUUCAGGGUGGAGCUGUCCUCUCUGGAGGGGGCCCGUUGGUGUAGGGUGGUGCUGUCCUCUCUGGAAGGGGCCGGAUGGUUCAGGGUGGAGCUGUCCUCUCUGGAGGUGGCCCUGUGGUGUAGGGUGGUGCUGGUCUAUCUGGAGGUGGCCCUGUGGUGUAGGGUGGUGCUGGUCUCCCUGGAAGGGGCCCAGUGGUGUAUGGUGGUGCUGGUCUCUCUAGGGGUGGGGGGGGUGGUAGUGUCUCUGGAGGGUGGUGUUGGUCUCUCUGGAGGUGGCCCAGUGGUGGAGGGUGGUGCUGGUCUCUCUGGAGAGGGCCCAGUAGUGUAGGGUGGUGCUGGUCUAUCUGGAGGUGGCCCUGUGGUGUAGGGUGGUGCUGGUCUCUCUGGAAGGGGCCCAGUGGUGUAGGGUGGUGCUGGUCUCUCUCUCUUUCUCUUUCUUUCAGUUUCCUAGCCAACACCUUGUUGGUGAAUGUCACAGCGGUUCACUAGGUAAACAUUGUCCAAGAGAGCACAGCCUCUGGACAGCUCAACGUGGUUGCUCUGAAUAAUAUGGAAGGGCAUAUCUCCACGUGGUAACAGGGUGGACUUAGUGAUUAUGGUGUUAGCUCAGCAGCUCUGGCUGCCACUUAAUUUGGCGAUUGACAGACUUUUUUUCAAGGCGCUUGCUGUUGUUGGGCACCAUGGCUUACUGACUGACAUGCUAGGGAAUAGCAGUUUCUCUCUGAGAAAAUGUCCCAUUGGAGUCACAUGUGAGAGGAAGGCCCCUAAUUGGCAGGUAAUCCAAAGAAAGAAGACGAGCGGCCGGU
Molecule: long non-coding RNA, 1086 nt
Organism: Oncorhynchus tshawytscha (Chinook salmon)
Lineage: Eukaryota; Metazoa; Chordata; Actinopteri; Salmoniformes; Salmonidae
Source: Ensembl